CCUACGGGGGGCAGCAGUGGGGAAUAUUGCACAAUGGGCGAAAGCCUGAUGCAGCAACGCCGCGUGAGCGAUGAAGGCCCUCGGGUCGGAAAGCUCUGUCCGCAAGGAAGAUAAUGACGGUACUUGAGGAGGAAGCCACGGCUAACUACGUGCAAGAAGCGUCGUUACUACGUAGGGGGCUAGCGUUAUCCGGAAUUACUGGGCGAAAGGGGUGCGUAGGUGGUUGCUUAAGUCAGAGGUGAAAGGCUACGGCUCAACCGUAGGAAGCCUUGGAAACUGGGGAACUUGAGUGCAGGAAAGGUGAGUGGAAUUCCUAGUGUAGCGGUGAAAUGCGUAGAGAUUAGGAGGAACACCAGUUGCGAAGGCAGCUCUCUGGACUGUAACUGACACUGAGGCACGAAAGCGUGGGGAGCAAACAGGAUUAGAUACCCUUGUAGUC
This 439-nucleotide ribosomal RNA is filed under the name uncultured bacterium. RNAcentral describes it as "partial 16S ribosomal RNA". It matches the Rfam family "Bacterial small subunit ribosomal RNA", at positions 338 to 795 of the family's 1533-position model. The record is from RNAcentral.